CUAAUAGCAAUUGUUACAAUUAUUUGGACAUUCUGUUGUUCGAAAAAGAAUCAAUUCUAGAAAUACAAGCAAUCAACCUCCCGUUUAUCUUUCUGGCUCAGCAAUGGGGUCAAUACGAAUGAUAGAUAUAGCGGCUAACUUCACAGAUGGAAUGUUCAAAGGAAUCUAUAACGGCAAGCAAUGCCAUUUAGCUGAUAUAGCCACUGUCCUUAGUCGAGCAUGGAGUGCUGGUGUUGAUAGAAUAAUUGUAACUGGUGGAUCUCUUGAGGAGUCAAAGAAGGCUCUUGAGAUUGCAGAGACUGAUGGAAGGCUCUUUUGCACGGUCGGGGUCCACCCUACAAGGUGCAAGGAGUUUGAAGAAAGUGGAGAUCCUGAGCAGCAUUUUCAGGCUCUUUUGUCAUUGGCACAAGAGGGAGUUCAGAAAGGGAAGGUCGUGGCAGUUGGUGAGUGUGGACUGGAUUAUGACAGGCUUCACUUUUGCCCACCAGAGAUUCAAAAAAAAUAUUUUGAGAAGCAGUUUGAAUUAGCACAUGUCACAAAGCUGCCUAUGUUUCUACACAUGCGUGCAGCAGCUGAAGAUUUCUGUGAAAUUGUGGAGCGCAACAAGGAAAAAUUCAGUGCUGGGGUCACUCAUUCAUUUACUGGCAGUGCAGAAGAUUGCGAUAAACUUCUCUCAUUCAACAAUAUGUAUAUAGGUGUAAAUGGUUGCUCAUUGAAGACAACUGAGAACCUUGAUGUCGUCAAGGGUAUUCCUGUUGAGAGAAUGAUGAUUGAGACAGAUUCUCCCUAUUGUGAAAUCAAGAACACUCAUGCAGGGAUUACUUAUGUAAAUUCUUUGUGGCCAUCAAAGAAGAAAGAGAAGUAUGAUCAGAACUGCAUUGUCAAAGGCAGGAAUGAACCUUGUUUAGUUCGGCAAGUUCUUGAGGUUGUGGCUGGCUGUAAAGGUAUCAAUGACAUGAAUCAAAUGUGCAGGACCAUUUACCAUAAUACCUGUGGGUAAGCAUUUAAUGGAGUUCCCACCACAAUUCAUCUAACCAAACAGAACUCAAAAGGUUUUCUUUCCUCAUGACUUGGAUUCUGCAGCAGACGCUCUUCUUGCUGAUCACCAUGAUUCUCAGUGAAAUUCUGAUGAUUUUGCUACUAUGAGAAUUUUCUUAAGCGAGUGCGAGAUCCUCGGAUUCUUUUUAUGAUUUGUGGAGUAUGAAUGAUGCUUUCUCAAAUGGCAUUGUAAUGAAAAUACAUAUAAUCUUAUAAUCGUGAUAAUGCCCUGACUUCAGGCUCUAAGGUUUUCAUGGAUUUUAUAUUUUUGGGGGCAUCUCACCUGAUAAUUGAGUGCCAUAAUUUUCACUGGUAGAACUUUGUAUACAGAUUGAACUUUGUAUUCAAUGAUAAAUUUGAAAUUUUCCCAUUGA
RNA transcript from Jatropha curcas, 1412 nucleotides. It is a transcript of the gene named TatD related DNase, with no coding region annotated. Lineage: Eukaryota; Viridiplantae; Streptophyta; Magnoliopsida; Malpighiales; Euphorbiaceae. The record is from RefSeq and is a predicted model, not a curated record.